UUGCUUCUUGGGUGACGAGCGGCGGACGGGUGAGUAACGCGUGGGAAUCUACCUGGUAGUGGGGGACAACAGUCGGAAACGACUGCUAAUACCGCAUACGCCCUUCGGGGGAAAGUGGGGGAUCUUCGGACCUCACGCUAUCAGAUGAGCCCGCGUCGGAUUAGCUUGUUGGUGAGGUAAAGGCUCACCAAGGCGAUGAUCCGUAGCUGGUCUGAGAGGAUGACCAGCCACACUGGGACUGAGACACGGCCCAGACUCCUACGGGAGGCAGCAGUGGGGAAUAUUGGACAAUGGGGGCAACCCUGAUCCAGCCAUGCCGCGUGUGUGAAGAAGGCCUUCGGGUUGUAAAGCACUUUCAGCUGUGAGGAAAGGCGAGUGGUUAAUACCCGCUUGCUGUGACGUUAACAGCAGAAGAAGGACCGGCUAACUCCGUGCCAGCAGCCGCGGUAAUACGGAGGGUCCGAGCGUUAAUCGGAAUUACUGGGCGUAAAGCGCGCGUAGGUGGUUCAGUCAGUCAGAUGUGAAAGCCCCGGG
RNAcentral lists this ribosomal RNA (534 nucleotides) under marine sediment bacterium BB0608_2216_5.2_1S0. RNAcentral's name for it is "bacterial SSU rRNA". It matches the Rfam family "Bacterial small subunit ribosomal RNA", at positions 76 to 607 of the family's 1533-position model. The record is from RNAcentral.